This 477-nucleotide ribosomal RNA is filed under the name uncultured bacterium. Its description in RNAcentral is "bacterial SSU rRNA". It matches the Rfam family "Bacterial small subunit ribosomal RNA", at positions 26 to 518 of the family's 1533-position model. The record is from RNAcentral.
AGGACGAACGCUGGCGGCAUGCCUAACACAUGCAAGUCGAACGGAGCUUAAGAAGCUUGCUUUUAAGCUUAGUGGCGGACGGGUGAGUAACGCGUGAGUAACCUGCCUCUUAGUGGGGAAUAAUGUACUGAAAAGGACACUAAUACCGCAUAAUGUAUUGAGAUCGCAUGGUUUUGAUACCAAAGAUUUAUCGCUGAGAGAUGGACUCGCGUCCGAUUAGCCAGUUGGUGGGGUAACGGCCUACCAAAGCGACGAUCGGUAGCCGGACUGAGAGGUUGAACGGCCACAUUGGGACUGAGACACGGCCCAGACCCCUACGGGAGGCAGCAGUGGGGGAUAUUGCGCAAUGGGGGAAACCCUGACGCCAGCAAUGCCGCGUGGAGGAUGAAGGUCUUCGGAUUGUAAACUCCUUUUGUCAGGGACGAAAAUGACGGUACCUGACGAAUAAGCUCCGGCUAACUACGUGCCAGCAGCGGC